RNAcentral lists this transfer RNA (70 nucleotides) under Dipodomys ordii (Ord's kangaroo rat). It matches the Rfam family "tRNA". Rfam says of the family: Transfer RNA (tRNA) molecules are approximately 80 nucleotides in length. Lineage: Eukaryota; Metazoa; Chordata; Mammalia; Rodentia; Heteromyidae. The record is from Rfam by way of RNAcentral.
GGAAAUGUGGCUUAGUGGUAGAGUGCUUGCCUAGCAAGCAAGAAGCUCUGGGUUCAAUUCCUUAUUACUA